UUGCAAAAGGGGUAAUCAGUUACAAAAGUAACAUCAGUCACAAGUGCAUCAAAGAUUCCCGGGGCAGUCCCGGUUGCAGAGCAUAUUUAUACUUUCACACGGUGUAGGUAUAUUACAUAUACAUGAGUGUGUAGGUAUAUUACAUAUACAUGAGUGUGUAGGUAUAUUACAUAUACAUGAGUGAUACAUCGUCAUUGGUUUCAGCUUGCCCUAGUGACUACACCUUCUGCUAGUUUGCCUGGAACACCAACAGAAAGUCCUUUGUCAGGAGGGCACUGAUUUAGGAUCAUGCUGUACCCAGAUCCUGAAGAGAGUUCCUGUUGGAGA
Long non-coding RNA from Labrus mixtus (cuckoo wrasse), 327 nucleotides. RefSeq lists it as uncharacterized. Lineage: Eukaryota; Metazoa; Chordata; Actinopteri; Labriformes; Labridae. The transcript is spliced from 3 exons. The record is from RefSeq and is a predicted model, not a curated record.